GACGAACGCGGCGGCGUGCCUAAUACAUGCAAGUAGAACGCUGAGGUUUGGUGUUUACACUAGACUGAUGAGUUGCGAACGGGUGAGUAACGCGUAGGUAACCUGCCUCAUAGCGGGGGAUAACUAUUGGAAACGAUAGCUAAUACCGCAUAAGAGUAAUUAACACAUGUUAGUUAUUUAAAAGGAGCAAUUGCUUCACUGUGAGAUGGACCUGCGUUGUAUUAGCUAGUUGGUGAGGUAAAGGCUCACCAAGGCGACGAUACAUAGCCGACCUGAGAGGGUGAUCGGCCACACUGGGACUGAGACACGGCCCAGACUCCUACGGGAGGCAGCAGUAGGGAGUCUUCGGCAAUGGACGGAAGUCUGACCGAGCAACGCCGCGUGAGUGAAGAAGGUUUUCGGAUCGUAAAGCUCUGUUGUUAGAGAAGAACGUUGGUAGGAGUGGAAAAUCUACCAAGUGACGGUAACUAACCAGAAAGGGACGGCUAACUACGUGCCAGCAGCCGCGGUAAUACGUAGGUCCCGAGCGUUGUCCGGAUUUAUUGGGCGUAAAGCGAGCGCAGGCGGUUCUUUAAGUCUGAAGUUAAAGGCAGUGGCUUAACCAUUGUACGCUUUGGAAACUGGAGGACUUGAGUGCAGAAGGGGAGAGUGGAAUUCCAUGUGUAGCGGUGAAAUGCGUAGAUAUAUGGAGGAACACCGGUGGCGAAAGCGGCUCUCUGGUCUGUAACUGACGCUGAGGCUCGAAAGCGUGGGGAGCAAACAGG
This 764-nucleotide ribosomal RNA is filed under the name uncultured Streptococcus sp. RNAcentral's name for it is "bacterial SSU rRNA". It matches the Rfam family "Bacterial small subunit ribosomal RNA", at positions 28 to 776 of the family's 1533-position model. The record is from RNAcentral. Lineage: Bacteria; Bacillati; Bacillota; Bacilli; Lactobacillales; Streptococcaceae.